GGAAUGCUGAAGCGGAAAGAUAAAGAAAUGGAUGAACACACAUUUUCAUACACGAGCUGCCACCCUGGCUUCUAUUUGGAGCGCAGUGGUGAUAUCUGAAGCAGCCAGUGAAAAUAAACCCCUUGGACUUGGACCCGCAGCUACCAUGGCAUAUUUUUAAAUGGUUACAGAAAGAGUCUGAGCAUCCAGUAGGGCAGUGUCCAAGAUUCUUGGGCUGCUCCCUGGAUGGCACUUGAGGUCCACUAGACAGGUAGACAAGACCUGUCUCACCAAGCUAGGUCAAGAAAAGACAAGGGCAGACAGAAGAGCCCCUUCGGGGAUUACCAUGCUCUUAAAGAGAAGAAUUAACUUCACUACAAACAUUUGAGGGCAGACUUUCAGAAAAAAAAAAAAGACUUGUUUUUAAACCGAAGAACUGAGGAAACUUUCCAAACAGAAAUAGGAGAGCACAGCAUCAUCAUAAAGUCCAAGGGACUUACCCCGAAUUGCACAGUAGAGUUCACGACCAUGCCUGGUGUGAUUUCACCCUACCCUUAACUCCCACUUACCACUAGAAUGUUUGGUGUAAAUCCCAGGGAGGAUGAAAUGGAUGGUAUAAAGGCAAACUUUUAUGAGAUUUAUGACUUAGUCCAAAAUUAGAGAAAUUAGAAACUGCAUGGAAAAGCCCAACAGGGCUCGGUCACUUAAGUAAACACUUUACAAAAUUACACACACCGCCUGGAGGUCUCCGUGCUAACCAAAAAAAUCAGCUUCUUUCUGGGUUUGCAAAAUUGUUCUUGAUGGUGCUGUCUGAUGGCUAGGCAGUGAGUUAUCUGCAGGAGAGCUGUCAUUUUACAGGAAGAAGGAGCUGAUGAGGAACAAGAGUGGGGUAGGGACAGAGUAGCAGAGAAGCACACUGACCCCAGGAAAGUGUGUAAAAUGUCGUGUGAGAUAACAGGGGGUACCUGGAGCACAGGGAUCAGAGGGCCGGUGUGUGGUCUGCAGCCACGGCUGUUCUUUUCUCUUCAUCCUUCAUACCAGAUUGUUAAUCUCCUCAGAAGGCUGCCCUUUCCCUCCUCAUACACCCAACCCAACCUGGAAUCACACAGAGCAAGAAAGUUGGGGAGCGACCCGCAAACAUAUUUACUUCUGAGGCAUUUCACCUAUCUCUUUGCAAAGUGUAGAUGUUUAAAACUCAUUUCCAGCCAGUUGAGACUUCGAUGAUGAUGUGUGCUCAAGACGUGUGGGGGUUAAUUAGGCAAGUAUGAAUCACAAUGUUACCCCUUUGUAUCUUCUAACUUCCUCCAGUGCCUUGAAGUAUGUUUUGACAGAGGCAAGCUAAAUUACAUAUGCUUCAGAUCAUACACAUUCAACCAGUGCUAUAUGCAAAGUAAGUAUUUAUUGGAUUCAAAAAUAACUGAACAGGAUUCUUAAACCAAAUACAUAAAUGGUUAUGUGGUUAGAGUGCUACAAUUAAAGCAAGUAAACUGAUGUCUCAAAUGGUACCCAUGCAGACCUGGGUUCUUGUCCCCAGCACCUAAGCAAAAAACUAGGCUGAGCUUAAACUGUGGGUGGAUCCUUGAAGCUUUUGGGCCAGACAGUCUAGCUGAAUCAAUGGGCUUCAGGUUCAAUGAGGGACUCAAAGAAAGAUGAAAAACAUGAGGGAAAUACACUUGUGGUCAACCUCAGUCUGCAUGUGCAAGUAAAUAAGAACAGUAAGAAAUAUGUAUAUCACACACACGUGAGCAUGCAUAAACACACACACACAAAUACAUACAUAUACACUCACACACACACCAAAAACAAAUAUGAGUAUUAAAAAUGCUUUCAGUAGAAUGUUAUCAAGUCUCUACCAAUGUGAAAUGGAGAAUAACCCUUGAAAGGCUUCCUAAAGCUGAGACAGCACUUCAAUUGGUACAGUUUAGGUGGAGAGUGAGAGUUUCUUCAGGGGAACACUGUUGCACCAUCAGGAAAAUGCACACACACACACACACACACACACACACACACACACACGCACACACCACAUAUUGAUGGAAGGAGAAGAUUAUGAAUUAAAAGGCAAGUUGAUUGCAUAAUCAAGGCAAAUAAGUGUAUAAGGGGGUGUGUUUAAAUGCACGAAGUCUAGUACAAGAUAAUCAGGAUUCUACUUCUAGCCCUGAGCUGAGUGACCUUGGACAAGUCCUGAGACAUUAAACCUCAGGGUCUAUGUAAAAAUCAGAACACAAACAGGGACCAUUCGGUUAGUCCAUAUGUUAGCAGUGGUUUAUAAUGAGGUCUGUUUGGACUAUAUAGGAAAGGUGAGGAGAUUGCACACCAUAAUGCUCUGUGUCGGUGGGGGUGGGGCUUGGGUGGAGUCAUAUCAUCUGCCUUUCCCGAGAUGACUCCAGGCAGGUCUGAAGCCCACAACCUCUCAUGAUAAGCAAAAGAUUCAUCUGGGAGACUCCCUUUUCUGGUGUUGGCAGCACUAUAGAGCUGGGCCUAGAUACAAAUCGUGUUUGUUAUCCCAAGGACACUCCUGGAGAAACAGUUUUUAGUGCGGAUUCUCCUGGAGGACCUCCUGCAGGCAAACGGCUGGGAUGGUUACCCCUGUUUUAUGGAGUGACAGCAGAACCUCCCUUCCUAUUUCCAGUGUGUGUGCUUCAUGAGGCAGUGAGCCCUGUCUUCCAUACCUCGGUUGCAAAACCAAAGGGCACUUGCCAUUUGAAAAGGCCUUCAGAGAAAGCGUCCGUGUGGUCUGUGCCCUCUGAUGCCAACUGCCAGCACAUUGGUGGACUGGCACCUUUCGGUUCCCUUCCCUUUCCAGGAUAGCAGCACUUCCUACUGGAAGGGGUGGAGUGAGAACUGAUACCAACUUAACGUCUCCCUUCCUGAGAGGCCUGGCAGGAUCUCUCCCGCCUUUGUGAUUAGAAAGGAAGCAUUCACAAAGAUGGUUAUGCGAUCACGGAAUGAACCUUGGCUCCAGAGGUGAGUGUUAAAGAGCUCUCCCAAAGUGCAAGUCAUGAAAGAAUGCUGGCUACUUCUCACAGGAUGAUUAUACCCAGAUGCCGUUAAGAUUUGGAAGAAUUAUUUCUGAGCGAUCAGUAGAUAAUUAUCAUACACACUUUAACUGUUAACGAUGCAUUGACUUCUUCUAUUUUCACUUACUCGAUUUAGAUAGCUUACAGUCUCUAAUUUUGUCAAAAUUCUCUGUAGGGGACAUCCAGUUUUGAAACUCCCAGUAUACUUGCUAAAAAUUGGAGAUUUAUCUUGUGGCUUUAUGGUAUUAAGAUUUCCAACACUCAAAACCUAAUAUGAUGAGGUUUUGAACAUAGAGUCAGCUGGGACCCUCAAUUUAAGACUUGCCUCUAUAAAAUUGACUUCUGAGCAUGCGCACAGGAACAUUGUCUUGACUAUUAGUUGGCUCGGGAGGGCCCAGCACACUGGGGACAGCACCAUCCCUAGCAGGUGGCCCUGGGCUAUGUAAGAAAACUAGCUGAGCAUAAGCCAGAGAGCUGGCCAGUGAGCAGCAACACACUUCUGGGAUUUCUGCUUCAGUUUCUGUCCUGACUUCCCUCGGAGACAUUGUGACCCAGCUGUGGGAGCUGAGAGAAACUCUUUCCUCCCCCGAUUUAACUUUAUUCACACUGUCAUAGCAACAGAAAAGGCCACAAGGACACGCAGGAAUCUGAAUUUCAAAUUCCUCCCAUUUGGAUGAUUUCAACCAUAUUAUAUUUCUAAAACAGAAUGGAUUUCCAUGUUCCUGUUAUUCAUCUUUAAUAAUUCAGUCUAUGAGCAAUCUAAUUUGAUCCCUAUACCCAUUUCUGAGUUGGUUUUUUUUUAAUGGCUCAAAUCUCUAUGGUUCAAACUGUCCAGGUUCCCUCACAAUUCCUGUUUCAUUAUCAUUUUUUGACUGACACAUAACAGUCUCAUAGAUUUGUGGGGGACCCUGUAGCGUCUAAACGCAUGUGCUCAUUUUGCGAUGUCCAAGUUCAAAAUAAUCAUAUCACAUAUUCCAGCAUGUGUUGCUUCUUUAUGGCAAAUGCGUUCUUCAUCCCUUCUCCCAGAAUUAUUGUCAUACACACUAUAUUAGCAACGUCUAUAGUCAUCCUACUGAACAAUUAUUGCAAAAAAAUAUUUUUUAGUCAAAGGCAAAAAAAAUCUUCCACACAGCCCAAUACAUCUUUUGUCUGGUCUAUUUGCCUUGCAGGACUUCCUGGAUUCCUAGUUUUGCGGGUUAUACUUCUGUGGUAGCAUUUUACGGGUUGGAGAGAUGGCUCGGUGGUUAUGAGUGUCGGCUGCUCUUUCAGGAUAACUGGGGUUCAACUCACAGUGCACCGUGCAGAGCAUCUUGCACUCACUUAACGACUUGGACUCCAGGGGGCUGCUACAGUAUUCUGACCUCCACAGCUUCUAAGCAUCUAAGUACCCUGUUUGUAUCACUCAUCUGAAAACGUGAUAGCCUUCUAACCCCUUUGCAAUGUACAAGAGCGCCGGGGCUUCCAACUGGACUCCGUCUAGAGAUCAUCAUCAUCAUCAUCAUCAUCAUCAUCAUCAUCACUACUCAAAAAGUCCAGUUGUAUGGGGCUUGAGCAACCUGACAGAGGACCAUACCCCUAAAGAAAAAUGACCAUCCCUUCCUCCGCACCCAUCAGCUGCCAAUAGCUGAUGGUAUCUCGUUUCUAACCUGGACUCAGAAUACAUAGUUCCAAGAAGUCAUUUGACCCUGUAAUUCUAACUGUGAAGGAAAAACAAGAGUUGUUGACAUAACUUCAAAGAUUUGGGAGGCGAUUGUGAUGUCCUAGACUUACUUGACAAAUUCCACCAGCUGGCAAGGAAGGAGAACCCACAGGGUUCACAAGGAAGUAGGGACAGCUCCUGGUCCUUGUGAUGGGGAAUAUUGGGGGCAGGAAGGGGGGGAGUAUUUUUCAGUGAGAGGAGCAAGGUGCACUUCGGCCGUUUGAGUCUGCCAUGACUCACAUGAGGAUGGGACACUGAACGAUUAGGCUUUUACAGAGCCCUCCAAGCCAGUCUGUUGCCUACCUCCCUUUUCCUCCCUCCCUCUCCUGAGGCAAUGAUGGCUUUCCCCAAGCUGAAUUUUACAUAAGGAACGGCUCUUUCACUCCUGCUGCUUCUUACCCAGAGAAUCCCUCCCAGCGGGGAAGAAAUCCAAGUUAUAUGCUGGGAGCUGUAUCUACCUACACCUGGACCACAGAACCCUGGUGCUUUCUUUCUGGGAAGCCCAUCUGCUUGUCUCAGAGUUCUCUUAGCCUAAGCAAAUGGAUGCCUUGUGAACCCUACCCAGGACUGCCCACUAAUUUCAGGAAAGAAAACAAAAACAAAACAAAACAACAACAACAACAACAACAACAACAACAAAACAAAAACCAGGCUCCAGAGGUGACCAAUCUUUCAAAAUAGCAAGUGUUUUGAAGCCAGAUCUAAACUGAGAAAGAAUAAGAAAAAGUAACCAGUGACACAACUGUCAACUCUAUAGCUGUUUUUGUUCAUGGGACCCCAUGUCCUUGUUAGCUGAAUGCUGCCCUCUCAGAGACAGAGACACAGAUCUGGAAGCUAUUUGAAGUUCAAAGGCACACACGGACUUCUGCCAACCAAAGCUGGAGGCAGCUAGAGGCUGGAGGAAGCACGUUAAUAAAUACAUCUGGAUAAAAAGCCUGAAAGCAUUUCUGCAGAGUUUCUGACUGAAAGUUCCCCACAAGAAAAUGGCUACAACAUUUUCUCUGAGUCCAACUCAGUUGGGUUGGGAACUGGACUGCUGUCACAGUUUCUGGAGUGUUCAGGAAAGGGUUUGUCCAGGGUCAGGAAAGAAGCAUCUGAAUGGUCCCUUAGCACAGAGCUUCUCAACCUGAGGAGUAUAAUCCCUCUGGGGGGAGUCAAACAAUCCUUUCAUGAGGGUCACCUAAGACCACUGUAAAACACAGACACUUACAUUAUGAUGUCUACCAGGAGCAAAAUUACAGUUAUAGAGUAGCAAUGAAAGUAAUUUAAUGGUUGGAGACCACCCAAGCCUGAGGAAAGUUGCAGCCUUAGGAAGGUUAUGAACCCCUGCCUUAGCACUUGGCUGAUUUUGAGGGUAGCAAAUGGGAUCGCUGUAUUCAAGUUACCCAGUCUCUGACUCCUUAACGCACUCAGCUGACUUCACGUCAUGCUCGGAUUGGGAGUUUCUGGUACAGUCGAUUCCGUUUCUCAUUUGACAGUUUCUCUCCCCUCCCAUACCUUUCCCUUCCCAAUACGCCUUUCCUGUUCUCUCUUCUUCCCUCCCCCAAUUUUUCUUUUGAUGUUUGCUGAUCAUCUCAGAGGUGAGUUUCAGCAAAGGUUGGAAUAAUACUUUACUCUAGAAUCCUUUUUUCCCCCUUUUGAUGAAGAUCCAGAGGGUUCUCCUGGUCAGGGGAAGGAAUCCAUUCCCCCAUGGCUCCUCCUGAGUUGUAGCCCUGAGUCAUAUCCCCAAGGACCUUGGCAAAUUCUCUUCCCUCUAAGACCCUGGGUUGAGAACCAGAGUAAAGGGUGGAGACAGUGUGCUAGUGGACACACCAAGACAGACAUUAAAAAGAGGGACCAUCCCCUCUGCUCCUACCCACACCUGAUGCCUCUUCCCUCUCCCCUUCCAAUCUCCUCUUCUACCCAGUUCUCUCCCUCCAUCUGUCCUCCAUGACCAGU
Molecule: small RNA, 6636 nt
Filed under: Rattus norvegicus (Norway rat)
Lineage: Eukaryota; Metazoa; Chordata; Mammalia; Rodentia; Muridae
Description: uncharacterized LOC103693415
Source: RNAcentral